UUCUGAAUUUGUUUAGAAUGGCUUUUGGUUGGGAAGCUUUUCAUGGUCUCAACACUAAAGCUGCUAAUUUAGAAAAAAACCAUUUGAGACUUCUGGCCAAAGACAGCAGGUUAAACGCAUGCAUUGUGAUCCACUCCCUCCUAGAACUCAACCAGGAGUUAAUGUUUGAUGAAGUAAUAUAUUCACAUGGUUCUAAAACAAAAAAAAAAAAAAAAAAAGAAAAGUGAAAAGGCACAGAGCAAAAAGUUUUCCUCAUCCAUGUCUCCCAUUGGCUCAGGUCCCACCUUCCUCCUGUCCAUAAGUAAGCACUGUUACUAGCUUCUUAGUUGUUUCCAGAGUCUCUUUAUGCCCAAGUAAGCAAAUAAGAACUUAAAUAACUGGAUUUUUUUAAAGGAUGAACCUACAGGGACAAAGAGAAUAUGAAAAGGACAACAGGAUAAUUUAAAACCUGGAACAUAGAUGAAUGAGUGGUCACUGGAUCAAGACUCCCGAGAAAGCUGAAUCCAAGCCAGCAGAUGAGAAAGUUAAUGCAACCUGCUUUACAUUUCAGAAUCUCCAUGAGCUCAGCAAUUUGUGGCAACAUGUACUUUUGUGAGUACUUUGGGAGUAAAGCUGUGCCUAAAAACAAAAGGAAACUACUGGAGGAUGUGCUCCACCAGAACAAUGGAGUGAAUGUAGCAAGGGGAAGAAGUGGAAUCCAGGAAGUAGGAUAUUCAGCACAGGAGGUGAAGGGAAUCCCCAGAUUGGACUGAAGGGAGAUGGGAAGUUUACAAGUGUACAGCAGGCUGAGAGAUCAGUCAGCCCAGAAAGGAGCGAGUCAGAAAGCUCUGGAAAACCUUUCAAGAUGAAAUUUAAUGAGUACCAUAUUUGUCUGAGCAUGUUGAGAGGAUUCUUAACUGGAAAAGAACAGGAUUAAAUUCAUGACAUAUGCAUAGGAAAUUUAAGCAAUGAAAAAUGAGAUAGUUAUUAACUCCAGAGAAAGCAAAAUGUUUUUCAGGGAAGUGAUCAUAAUUUCUUAUACAACACAGGUGUGAAUAGUAUUUAUUUGGUCAAAAAUAAUGUAAACACUAGAAUAUCAAUCUAAUAAUGUUAUAGGUGUAUAUAUCCAGGAAAUAUACAUGUCUGUGGAAUAGCAAGGGGUAAAGCUAAAUUCCCAUUUUCCACAGUGGGAAGUCAAUAGAUAAAAUCAGGAAGUAGCUGUUUAGAGAGAUGAUGAUUCCAAAAUAGAUAAAUAAAUACUGGAUUCAUAAAGCACUGAAGGGUGAGAAAUGGGAGUGAGGCAUGCAGUGGGGGCUAUUUAGUAAUGGACAAUGAUUUCUUUUUUUUUUUAACUAUGCAUAUUUAAUUUUGAUAUAAAUAACUAAAUAAAUAUCAGUAAUUUAUCUUUUUUCUUCUACUGUAUGAAAAAGGGAAAAGGUGAGAUGGGGAAUGUGCAUCACUCCUAGCCAGUAAGGAAGCUGGGAAGGUAAAGUGAAACUUUCUGGCCAGCAGGGCUAUUGUCUUUCCACCUCCUGUUGAGGCAGGAAAAAAAAUUAUGAGCAGCUGGGAAGUUAAGGACUAUGAAUCUUUAGAAGAGCUGUUGAUGCCAGACUGACUUGAAAUGUGUGGCUGUCCUAGGAGGGUUCUGAUCCAAGGAAAUGAUCCAAGGUAAGUGCAAAGAAAAGACUCUACCAAACACAGAAAUAAAACUGGGACUAUGUUAAGAGUGCUAUUAAUAAUAAAUUGUAUCUGGAUAUGAAUUUCUUAAAAUUUUACUUCAAAUGCCCAUUGCCUUAAAAUCCAGAAUUUAAAAAUAUGGCUUUUUGAUUUAUAAUUUUAAUUAAAAAAAAAAAAAAAGGAACUACUUUGCCCAGGGUUUUGACUAGCCAUACCCGUGACUGAAAUCACAUUGCUUAGGUCUGCGGCCCUACCGAGACAGCAGAGUCUGCCACUCUAACCAAGGCAAAAAGCCCGUGGGAAUGAGGCCCCCUGUGAGCACACUAGUCCUCCUUUCUCCUCCUGUCUUCAGUCUCUACCACUGGCUCCUUCUCAGACAAGAAAAUGCUCAGAAAUUUUCCCACUUAAAAUAAACAGAAAAAUUCUCCCGUUAGCUAUGAUCUCAACCUUCUCUUUUCCUCCAUCACAGCACUCCUAACGCAUGUGUGCCGACGGCCUCCUCCUCUUUUCCUUCCUCGCCACAGGCUACUUCUUCAGCCCAGGCAGCCUCGCUCCCCCUCUGACCCCGCACGGAGCCUGCUCCCCCAGGGCUCUCCACGGGCUUCUUCCUCGCUAAACCCCUCUGUCCUCUUCAGUCCUCAUCCUUCUCUCCGAAUCCUUCCCCAUCCCUUUGUUCUGUGUCUGUCUUCUUUUCUGGUUUUCCUACUUCUCUUACUCUCUGACUGCCCGCUGCCCUCUAGAGCUGCCUCUAAAGAAUAGGUAUCCACAGAGAUCGCCUGCCUCCCUGCAAGAUCUGGGAUCUGCCUGUCUGCAGCCUCCUGUGUGCCCUGUCCUCCUUGCUCAUAACCCUCCAUUGGCGCUGGUGUUUCUCUCAGUUCCUCUAAUGCACCCAGCUCUUCUUGCCUGGGGGCCUGUUCCCUCUACCUGGAACCCUCUUCCCCACCCCACACACCACCCCUCCAUCUGGCUGUCUCCAACCCAACCUUCAGGGCUCCAGUUUGCUAUCACUUCCUCACAGUGCCCCUCCCUAUGUGCCUCCUCUCCCACCCCCACCAAACUAAAUCAGUUUCCCCACUGUUCUAUCUUAGAAAUCCCCUUUUUUCAGAUUAUUCAUACAGUUUAAAAUUAUAGACUUUUGUUGUAUGUUUCUAUGCUUAAAUAUCUACCUUUCUCUCCAGAGUGUAAGUUCCAUGAGGACAGGAGCCACAUCAGUUUUGUUUACCAUUGUAAACAUAGCCUCAACACAGUCCCUGGAAUGGGAGAUACUAAAUAACUGUUGGAUGAAUGAAUGAAGUACUUCCUUCAUGCCAGGCACUGCAGUGAGCGCUUUACAUAUAACACCCCUAUGUGUUAUUCUCACAACAACCCUAUGAAUAGGUACAAUUAUAAGGUCCAUUUUCAUAUGAGGAAACUGAAACUUAGAGAGACUGAGUAAUAAUGCCCAAGAUCUUACAGAAAAGUGAGUGUCAGGACUAGAAUUGUAAAGUACAUUUCUUUGACGCUAUGUAAGAGUUUUGAAUGAUCGUAUCCUAGUGCUUCCUAGUUGGCAAAUGUGGGUGCACCUUCCCAAACCUCCCUCGCCCUGUUCCCUCCUGUCUGUUCUAUGGUCUCUCUUGCAUCCUCCGGAUCUCCUCCAAGCUGGGUAAUGGUCCAGGGCCAAGGAAUUGCUCAUGGAGGAGACUGGGCGGUCCUGGCGGCUUUCCUUUUUUCUAACUCAUGUUUCUGAGAAGCCCUUAGAAAAGCUGAUGGUGGGCAGACCAUGAUGAUGGUCAGCAUUGCGAUAGCAAUCCUGCCCUUUCUAUGCGCUCUUCUCAUUGCCUGCUGUGCCCCCAUAGCUUUGGGUUGCUCCCCGUUUUAGUGCCCCACUCAGGCCUCUCUCCCUGCCAUGCUCACCUCAGGGAGUUCCGAAUUUUUUUCCCUGACCUAAAUGUGCCUGUCCUGGAAAAUGUUCGUAAUAGAAUGGUAAGUGAAAAAAAGAUUAAAAAGCAAGGCAAACUAUUGUAUAAAUAGUUGCUGUGGGUUGAAUUGUGUCUGCACACUCCCAGUCCAUAUGUCGAAGUUCCUAAAUCCACAGUACCUCAGAAUGUUUCCUUAUUUGGAAAUAGGGUCAUUGUGAAUGUAAUUAUUCAAGUCAAAAUGAGGUCAUACUGGAGUAGGGUGGGUCCUUAUGCCAGGAUGACUAUUGUCCUUAUAAAAUGCCACGUGGAGAGCCAGACGUGCACACAGAGAGAGCACCCUGUGAAGGUGAAGGCACAGUCGGGAGUGAUUCAGCAAAAACCAAGGAACACCGGCAGCCAGAAAACCACCAGAAACCAGGGGAAAGGCCUGGAGCAGAUUCUCCCCCAAGGCCCUCAGAGGGGAUGGACCCACCAGCACCUUCGUCUCAGACUUCUAGCCUCCAGAGCCAUGAGACAAUACAUUUCUGUGUUUAAGCCACUCACAUUGGGGUACAUUGUUGUGUUAGCCCCAGCAAACUAACAGAAAUAGUAUAAUCACAAUUUUGUAAAUUAAAACAAACCCAUAUGUGUUAUCAAU
Molecule: long non-coding RNA, 4191 nt
Organism: Manis pentadactyla (Chinese pangolin)
Lineage: Eukaryota; Metazoa; Chordata; Mammalia; Pholidota; Manidae
Exons: 2
Source: RefSeq, a predicted model, not a curated record